This 75-nucleotide transfer RNA is filed under the name Candidatus Daviesbacteria bacterium RIFCSPHIGHO2_01_FULL_41_45. RNAcentral describes it as "tRNA-Ala". It matches the Rfam family "tRNA". Rfam says of the family: Transfer RNA (tRNA) molecules are approximately 80 nucleotides in length. The record is from RNAcentral. RNAcentral also lists the same sequence under 3 other names. Lineage: Bacteria; Candidatus Daviesiibacteriota.
GGGCCCGUAGUUCACCGGUAGAACGCUUCAUUUGCAAUGAAGAUGUAGGAGGUUCGACUCCUCUCGGGUCCACCC